GGUUACUGUGCAUUGAAUUGUGGACUACAAGUUAGGUGUCAACAAGGUGUUACCCCAGGCUUAAACUUUAGUAGAGUUUUUGGCUCCAGAUAUUUUUUGACAAUUUCUUCGGGAAACUAAUGUACUUUGUUUAGAUAACAAAUCUUAAAGGACCAAUGAACUUACUUCUGAAUGUAGGAUCUUCAAUGAUCUUUAUAUGUAAACAGCAUACCCAAGAUUUCAAAAUGACCAUGGAGGUUUU
This 241-nucleotide long non-coding RNA is filed under the name Mytilus galloprovincialis (Mediterranean mussel). The record is from RNAcentral. Lineage: Eukaryota; Metazoa; Mollusca; Bivalvia; Mytilida; Mytilidae.